CCUUGGAUCAGGUAGGGAUACCCGCUGAACUUAAGCAUAUCAAUAAGCGGAGGAAAAGAAACCAACAGGGAUUGCCCUAGUAACGGCGAGUGAAGCGGCAACAGCUUAAAUUUGAAAUCUGGCUCCCUUGGGGGUCCGAGUUGUAAUUUGUAGAGGGUGCUUUGGUGUUAGCUGUGGUCUAAGUCCCUUGGAACAGGGCGUCACAGAGGGUGAGAAUCCCGUAUGUGGCCAGCAGCUUCCGCCUUGUAAAGCCCCUUUCGACGAGUCGAGUUGUUUGGGAAUGCAGCUCUAAAUGGGAGGUAAAUUUCUUCUAAAGCUAAAUAUUGGCCAGAGACCGAUAGCGCACAAGUAGAGUGAUCGAAAGAUGAAAAGCACUUUGGAAAGAGAGUCAAAAAGCACGUGAAAUUGUUGAAAGGGAAGCGCUUGCAGCCAGACUUGCUCGUAGUUGCUCAUCCAGGCCUUGUGUCUGGUGCACUCUUCUGCGGGCAGGCCAGCAUCAGUUCAGGCGGUCGGAUAAAGGCUCUGGGAAUGUGGCUCCUCUCGGGGAGUGUUAUAGCCCAGGGUGCAAUGCGGCCAGCUUGGACUGAGGUCCGCGCUUCUGCUAGGAUGCUGGCGUAAUGGCUGUAAGCGGCCCGUCUUGAAACACGGACCAAGGAGUCUAACAUCUAUGCGAGUGUUUGGGUGUCAAGCCCGAGCGCGCAAUGAAAGUGAACGGAGGUGGGAACCCCUUGGGGUGCACCAUCGACCGAUCCUGAUGUCUUCGGAUGGAUUUGAGUAAGAGCAUAGCUGUUGGGACCCGAAAGAUGGUGAACUAUGCCUGAAUAGGGUGAAGCCAGAGGAAACUCUGGUGGAGGCUCGCAGCGGUUCUGACGUGCAAAUCGAUCGUCAAAUUUGGGCAUAGG
This 902-nucleotide unclassified non-coding RNA is filed under the name Murispora asexualis. Its description in RNAcentral is "Murispora sp. VMD-2020a sequence contains 28S rRNA gene". It matches the Rfam family "Eukaryotic large subunit ribosomal RNA", at positions 1 to 921 of the family's 3401-position model. Lineage: Eukaryota; Fungi; Ascomycota; Dothideomycetes; Pleosporales; Amniculicolaceae. The record is from RNAcentral.